This 168-nucleotide ribosomal RNA is filed under the name uncultured bacterium. RNAcentral's name for it is "partial 16S ribosomal RNA". It matches the Rfam family "Bacterial small subunit ribosomal RNA", at positions 338 to 525 of the family's 1533-position model. The record is from RNAcentral.
CCUACGGGAGGCAGGGGUGGAAGCCUGAUCCAGCCAUGCCGCGUGCAGGAAGACGGCCUUCUGGGUUGUAAACUGCUUUUGCCUGUGGAUAAAAAGACUCUGCGGAGUAAAUUGAAGGUAGCAGGUGAAUAAGCCACGGCUAACUACGAGACAGCAGCCGCGGUAAUA